Molecule: ribosomal RNA, 418 nt
Filed under: Acanthamoeba genotype T4
Lineage: Eukaryota; Discosea; Longamoebia; Acanthamoebidae
Description: SSU rRNA
Rfam family: Eukaryotic small subunit ribosomal RNA
Source: RNAcentral
GCAGAUCCAUUUUCUGCCACCGAAUACAUUAGCAUGGGAUAAUGGAAUAGGACCCUGUCCUCCUAUUUUCAGUUGGUUUUGGCAGCGCGAGGACUAGGGUAAUGAUUAAUAGGGAUAGUUGGGGGCAUUAAUAUUUAAUUGUCAGAGGUGAAAUUCUUGGAUUUAUGAAAGAUUAACUUCUGCGAAAGCAUCUGCCAAGGAUGUUUUCAUUAAUCAAGAACGAAAGUUAGGGGAUCGAAGACGAUCAGAUACCGUCGUAGUCUUAACCAUAAACGAUGCCGACCAGCGAUUAGGAGACGUUGAAUACAAAACACCACCAUCGGCGCGGUCGUCCUUGGCGUCGGUCCUUCACGGGGCCGGCGCGAGGGCGGCUUAGCCCGGUGGCACCGGUGAAUGACUCCCCUAGCAGCUUGUGAGA